UGUUGCUGAAUCGAUUAAAGAAGAGAAAAAGAGAAAACAAAUGGAAGCUAUUGCCGAGGACCUAUUUAACAGUGAAAAGGGAAGACGACGUGGUACAGCUGGUUCCCUGCAUGGGUUGUUUGCUCGUAAAUAAAUAUGGUAAGUUUCUUCACAGAGCUGAAGAACUAUAAAUUCUUUUCCCUUGUCUGCAAAGCACAUGCAGCUUUGUGCUUUAGAAGGUUCCAUUCGUAUGAAUCAAUUUGCUGACCUAGAUCUCGUUGAAAGGUUUUAUACAUUUGUCCUUUUUUCAACGCAUUUCUUAGACAAAGACUCUGUUUUUUCCUCUUUUUUGCGGCUGAAAGAAGCAAUUCUUCAGCUCUCUUGUAAGCAUUGAGCUUAGGGCUUCCAUGACAAUCACAAAAAGAUGAGGAGAGAGAGAGGGUUUCCUUGUCUUAGGCCUCUUUGAGACUUAAAGUAGCCUCCGGGGCUUCCAUUAACGAGAACUGAAAGUCUGACAGUAGAAGUGUUGAUCCAUUAUAUCCACCUAGGGGUGAGCAUAGUUUGGGCAAACCCGAAAUCCAAAUUGAAAUCCGAAUUUUUUGGAUUUUAAAUUUGGAUUUUCGGAUUACGGAUUGAAUUUUGGAUUUAAUUUUUACAAUUUUUGGAUUUGGGGUUGGAUAUUGGAGUUUGUACUUCGGAUUUUUGGAUAUCUGAAAUCCGAAUUUUUUAUAAUUUAUAUUUAGUCCAUUAUUAUUGGAUGAUAUGCCAAUAAUAAUAAGUUCAUUCCCCUACCCAUUAGAUAUUAUCUCAUAUAUUCAAUAUUAGUUACUAAGUUAAUGUCAGAAUAGUUUCAUUUGGACAUGGUUUUACUAUUACUACUUCUUAUCGGCUGUAUUAAUGUCUCUGUUGCAUUUUCUUGAUAAUAAUUUCAUUACUUGAAUGCUAUAUUUGGAUGAUUGCAGUGAUAAUGAGAAAACUUUCAGACAAUUUAAGAUAAGUACUUCAUUUGGAUAUUCAUUUUUGUAAAAAAAAAAACCCUCAACUUAUAAGCCCAAACCGAUUAAUCCAAAACCGAGCUUAAAAUAUC
Non-coding RNA from Nicotiana tabacum (common tobacco), 1066 nucleotides. NCBI's taxonomy places the organism in Eukaryota, Viridiplantae, Streptophyta, Magnoliopsida, Solanales, Solanaceae. The record is from RefSeq and is a predicted model, not a curated record.